CUUAGUCAUGAUGCAACAAGUCAAUGUCAAAAUAGGAAACGGUCUCUGGGAACAUCUAGUUCAGCCCCUUUGCGUUAGUCGGCGAAGAAUAUGGUGCGUGGAUGAUUAAGGGGCACAUUUAAAGUCACAGGACAAUCACGAUGAGAGAAAAAACAGAACUGGAACUUGAAAGUCUGGGGACAUACUGCUCUCUUCUUGGUAUUCUUCUCUCUGAAAUUCCAACCUUGGCAGAUGACCAAAGUGAACAGGGGGUGCCAAGGAAGGGAAAGGGAGAAGAAAAAGUACAUGGCACUCCUGAUCGAAGAUAAAGUUUGACUGUAAACUCCAAUCAUCUUUAAAGAGAGACUUCGGUGAUCAGACGGUAGCAGGAACUUUAUUUGAAGUUGUUAUGUUAGAAGAUCAAAGAAGAAAGGUGAACUAUGCAAGAGUAAGAUCAAAAAGAAGAAAUUUCAUUUUGAUUUUUAGAUAUCAAGGAAUAAUACAUACACUAAAGCCUAUUAGUGAUUGUCAAAGAGUAUAAAGGCAACAUCAAGUAUGCAGGUCGGAAUUGUUUUCAUUCUUUUAACUAAUAGCAAAUGUUAAUUUUACUUUGUCUUUCCUUGUAUGAGUUCCUGUCUACAUCUUUGCUAUGCAAACAUUCAUGUAAUUGUAUCAGACAUAUGAAAAUGGUCACAUUGCCAUAGAUUUCUAGAGGUAGGAUUUUCAUUUCUAUGUGGAAGAGGACAUAUUCUGCAUGGUAAAGGAAGCUUGUUUUAAUGUUUCAAAAAUAAUCCAAUGAACCUGCUUUGUUAUGUAGAAUGAAACACUUAUCCAAAAUAUGAUCUGGAAGUAGGGUACAAAACUUCAAAAAUGUCGAUGAGAAAUGUUAUGUGCCUAUGGGCUUCUCAGGUGAGUAAGUUAGAGCUUCUGGGGAGGGAACAAGACACUUCUGGAGAGAGCUGUGAACCAGCAACUCUAUGCAGGUACAACGGAGGAGGGACAACCCUGUGAUGUGGGAAGGGCACCUCAUCUCAUUUGUCCUACACUAAUGCCUCACAUCAAGUUUGAACAUAGUUUCUGCUUUGUUAAUUAGUUUUAUUGCCCACAAGCGUUAGUGAAACAAAACUCGCUCUCCAUCCAAAGGUUUAAGAUAAUGGUAAAAAGCUGUCUUCUCUAGUGUUGUAAUUUAUCAUCUCCAAACUUUCAGAGGUCUCUUCUGCACUCUCUACCAUGGCUUUGCAGCGUAUAAAAGUAAUGACAGAAACAGUGUUGAGUGAUAAAGAUGUGUGCUGAGAAAGAUUACUGAAAUUUGAAACAGACGAGAGGGAGAAAUUAGUGAGAUUUCGAAGGUAUGUAGUCUCAGGUUCUGUGUCAUCGUAGUCACCUUGCUGUGAGUAUUUAAAGUCAUGGACACAUGUGACCAGUAACCUGGUCUAUCUCUGGGCUUCCAAUGGCCAUCUGGUAUUUCUAAUGUGAAAAUAAACGUCUCAGCUGGAACUAACAGAGCUCUGGCGUGUAGUCACCAACAUCCUGAACCAAUCAAUAGCCACAAACGAGCUGAGCCAGAGGAACAGACUCACAAUGAGACCUAAAUAAGUCACACAGCAGCCUGGUAGUGAUGACAGUGACUCCUGAGCUAGGCCCAUAUUGGGGUGUCAUUUAAAAAGUUGUUCAGGCAGCUCAGCUUGUAUCUAGUAACUCCAUGAUUGCCAAUGACUCUACACACAAUAUUUCUACUCUAAUUAGAUGCAGCGGAUUCUGCUUUCUACUGUUUGCAUGUUCUAUGUAACAUGCUUAUUCUAAACUCCUCUAUGAGACAACACUCCGCUUGCUUCAACCUGCACCAUGGGCCUCUGGAGAAGGAAGUCAGAGUGAACAUGAUUUCUAUAGGAACAGAAAGAGCAGAAGCUGUUUCACAUACAUGUCAUUAAAAAAAAAGAAGAAGAAACCAAACAAAAACAACUGCACCAAAGAGAGACAGCAGAACCCUUUCCUAACACACAAAUGUUAGAACAAGUUCUGUAUCAGGCUUGUCUUCCCCAUCUAUUUUCCAUAUCUACACAGUUCAAGUUUUAAAAUUAUUAUAGAAUUAUGACCUCUUCUAAGCCAUUCCUACCCCAUAUGCCCCUCCCUACAAUUUUUCAUCUAACUGAUCUAAUUAGUUACAGAAUUUAUACAAUUUCAGCACAUAAAAUUUUCACAUACAAUUUUUGUAAGCAUCCUGCCCAGAUUAGUGUAACAUUUAAGCAAAUUCUCCCCUCACCACAAUUCCACUGUCCCAACUUAUAAAUUCAUAUUUUAGUUGGCGGAAGUCUUUGCUCUGGUAGUUUUGAUAAGAAUGUUAUGGAAACAAUAUUUCUUGAUUUUUUUUAUAUGUUUAAAAAUAUUUUUCCUUGGCUUUUAUUACUGCACAGCAGGGUAGCUGGACGUGAAAUACAACGAUGUUCUUUUCUGUGAGAACAUUGUGGAAGUUGUUUCAUGGUUGCUAGCAUUGAACAUAGUUCUGGAGAAGUCUGAGGCCAAACGUAUUUUUUUUCUUCUUGAAUAUCAAAAUCUCUGCAUUUUUUUUUCUGCUUGGAGGAGCAUAGAAGUAUUCUGAUAUGGUUAUAUUCAAUAACUUUUCUCAGGAACUAUUUUCAGAAUAAUCAAUCAGGGUUAACUCCUCUGGGACAUGUGUUACUCUUGAACAACUAUUAGAUGGUCUUCCAUUAUUAGCAAAAUAUUUCAUUUGUAGGAAUUGAUGAAAUUUUUGGCUAUUACAUUGGUGUUACGUCUGCUGAUAUUUUAUGGCUUUUCACAGUUCUCACUAUUCUUGAAACUUAUAUAAUAUUUUGUUGUUCACUGUCUAUCCUUUUAUCUUCUUCCAAAACUGCUUUUUCUCUAUAGUGAUUUUAUUUUUCUUUAUUUUAUUUCUUUUAUUUCCUUAUGUUAGUGGUGGUUGCAGCUGUUUAUAAUUUAAUAAUUACUUUUGUUUGUUUCCCUUUAAUUUAUCUGUUUACUUUGCAUCCCGAUUACUGGCCCUCUCUCCUGCCCUCAAACAGUCCCUUCCCCCAUCCCUUUUCCCCUUCUUCUCUGAGAAUGGGGAUCUCUCCCCGCUGUGUACCAAAGCACCCUGGUACAUCAAGGCACUGCAGUGGGAGAGGUGCAUCCAGACAAGGGAGAUCAAUUAGGGAACUGGGAUCCACAGGAAGGCAAUAUAUUCAGGGACAGCCCCUACUCUAGUUGUUGGGGAACCCACAUGAAGACCAAGACACACAUCUGCUACAUAUGUUACUUUCUCUGUCUGGAGAAGCGCAGAAGUGUUCUGAUAUGGUUAUAUUCAAUAACUUUUCUCAGGACCUAUAUAUUAUAGUAUAUUUGCAAUAGUAACUGCCAGGUUGUGAAUGAUAAAAGCUAUCCACCAGCAUCAUACCAAUUUUCACACACCAAUGUGCCAUGAGUUCUAAAAGCAUUGCCAACUAAAUUUUACCAGAGUACAUCCAAAAACAUAUGAUAGAAUUGUACAUCAUGGCCACAUAAAAUUUAUCCUAAGAAUACAAGAUGAUAUAAAUAUUAAAAAUAAUCAAAGUAUAUAAUGACUUAAUCAAUCAUAUGAAGAGAAAAGGAUAAAAACACAUGAUUAAUAAAAUGGCAAUAAUGCACAGUGUGGAUUUAAUGCAAUUCUAUCAAAAUUGAACCAUUUCUUGUGCACAUGAAUAAGGUGAUCAGAAAUUUGCCCAGAGAUGCAAGAAAUCCAAACUCGCUAAGCCAACAACAGAAAAGAAGAUUAAAAUUAUAAGAUUCAGACUUUUUCAUCUCAAGAUUUAUUUCAAUAUAUAAUAUAAUCAAGUCAGUGUAACACAAACAUAAAACAGAAGAGAACUGAGACUCAGAAAAUAUUUAAAAGCUCUAUACUAAUUGUCAUCUAAUCUCUAACAAGGGUGCUGAAAUAAUUCCAAGUAAGAAAAGCUAACCUUUCAACAACUCAUGCCCAAAAAUAACAGAUAUCCAUGUAUGUGGUCCCCUAAACACACAUAUACAAAUAUAAACUCAGAACAGAUCAAAGCUUUAAAUGUGCAUAACCGAAGUGCAUGGCUAAAAGUAUACCACUGUUAGAAAAAGACAUUGCCAUAAAUCUUUGUGAUCUAGAUUACACAAUUUCUUUGAUAAGACAUCAAAAGCAUGAGGAGGAAAAGAAAACUUUGAUAAAUUGGACUUUAUGAAAAUUAAAAACUUAUAUGCUUCAAAGGGGCAGAGAAGCCAAAAGACACAAAAUGCAAAAUACAAUUACAAGGCAUGUAUGUGAUAACUAAAUAUUAUCUUAAGACACAUACAGAACAUGUGCACCCUACAGUAAAAAAAAACCUGAAUUUCUCGAAUGAACAAGAGAUUUAGAUAGAUAUCUUCCAAGGUAAGUAAAUGAAUGUCUAAUACACACAUGAGAUUAAAGUAAUCAAAAUCAAGGUGAGCAACUGCCUUAGAAGAAUAUUUCUCAAGAAGGCAAGACACAGAAAACAUAAAAGAGAGGCAACCUCUCCCUUUUAUACAAACUCGCUUUGAUUUGAAAAGAUGACCGUUGUAUCAGGCACUGAUAAAGGCAGAGCUUUGACAGUCCAUUGAAUUCUCUAAGGACCCAUCUUGUGCUGUCACAAUGGCAGCCAAACUCACCCUAUCAAGAAUCUAGGAGAGGACAUAAUAUUCCGUCCAUAGCAAGGAUUCUCGGGAGUCCCAAAUAAAUCUUUGGGAACUAUCGCUCUGAGCUCUUAUUUAUUUUAUGACUUUCUUCAUCCAAUUCUACACACUUCAAUCUCAGAUUUCAAGAAAUCUAUGUAUCUCCUUCAUAUUUCUGUUAUUUCCUUAGUUACAACAUAAAACUAGAGGAAAUAUCUUCCUGGAGUAACAUUCUCAUUAUGAAUCAAUGUGGCUAGCAGAAGAUAUUUUUUCACUUCAGCAGUCCUAGGUAAAAAAUAACUUAGUAUUACAUGUAUUACCCUGAAGAAACCCCCACUCCCUUAGUGAAAAAGGCAACCUUUCACAUUGCUUGACAUAAUUCCUCGGUAACCCCCAAGAAAAUAUUCCAUAUUGUCCAAUAGGCCCACCCUACAUGAAAUAUUUGGGGAUAAAGAACUUAAUUUUCAGUGUGUUAUUAAAUAUUAAAUAUCGUACAGUUUCCUGGUAUCUCCCUCACCAUGCAUAUUAUAUGUCACUGUGGUUUCUGGAAAACAAAAGAUCUCAUUGGGCCUGGUGGUGGUGACA
This is a long non-coding RNA of Rattus norvegicus (Norway rat), 5214 nucleotides long. RefSeq lists it as uncharacterized. The record is from RefSeq and is a predicted model, not a curated record. Lineage: Eukaryota; Metazoa; Chordata; Mammalia; Rodentia; Muridae.